RNAcentral lists this ribosomal RNA (553 nucleotides) under uncultured fungus. RNAcentral describes it as "SSU rRNA". It matches the Rfam family "Eukaryotic small subunit ribosomal RNA", at positions 548 to 1098 of the family's 1831-position model. The record is from RNAcentral. Lineage: Eukaryota; Fungi.
UUGGAGGGCAAGUCUGGUGCCAGCAGCCGCGGUAAUUCCAGCUCCAAUAGCGUAUUUAAAGUUGUUGCAGUUAAAAAGCUCGUAGUUGAAUUUCGGGAAUCAAUAUUCGGGUCAUGCCGGUGGGUAUGCACUGUUAAUCAUUGAUUUUCUCACCUUCUAAAGAACCGUAAUGCCAUUAAUUUGGUGUUACGGGGAAUUAGGACUGUUACCUUGAAAAAAUUAGAGUGUUUAAAGCAGGCUCACGCUUGAAUACAUUAGCAUGGAAUAAUGAAAUAGGACAUCCGAUUCUAUUUUGUUGGUUUCUAGGAUCGAUGUAAUGAUUAAUAGGGAUAGUUGGGGGCAUUAGUAUUCAAUUGUCAGAGGUGAAAUUCUUGGAUUUAUUGAAGACUAACUACUGCGAAAGCAUUUGCCAAGGAUGUUUUCAUUAAUCAAGAACGAAAGUUAGGGGAUCGAAGACGAUCAGAUACCGUCGUAGUCUUAACCAUAAACUAUGCCGACUAGGGAUCGGAUGAUGUUAAUUUUUUAAUGACUCAUUCGGCGCCUUACGGGAAAC